This 345-nucleotide ribosomal RNA is filed under the name uncultured bacterium. RNAcentral describes it as "bacterial SSU rRNA". It matches the Rfam family "Bacterial small subunit ribosomal RNA", at positions 27 to 355 of the family's 1533-position model. The record is from RNAcentral.
GAACGAACGCUGGCGGCGUGCCUAACACAUGCAAGUCGAGCGGGAAAGUUCCCUUCGGGGAGCGAGUACAGCGGCGAACGGGUGAGUAACACGUAGGUAACCUACCCUGGAGACUGGGAUAACCUGCCGAAAGGCGGGCUAAUACCAGAUAAGACCACGAGGGCUGCGGCCCUUGAGGUAAAAGAUGGCCUAUGCUUGCAAGCUAUCACUCCGGGAUGGGCCUGCGCGCCAUUAGCAGUUGGUGAGGUGACGGCUCACCAAGGCAGAGAUGGCUAGCUGGUCUGAGAGGAUGGCCAGCCACACUGGGACUGAGACACGGCCCAGACUCCUACGGGAGGCAGCAGU